Cimex lectularius (bed bug) is the source of this 532-nucleotide long non-coding RNA. RefSeq lists it as uncharacterized. The transcript has 3 exons. Lineage: Eukaryota; Metazoa; Arthropoda; Insecta; Hemiptera; Cimicidae. The record is from RefSeq and is a predicted model, not a curated record.
UGCAUGGCACAUGCGUUCUUCAGGUACGGUGAUCUCAUUGCACCAAACCUGCACUCAUCUGUUAAAAGAAGAGCCUCUCCAGCCCACCAGUCGCCUUUCUACUCGAUGCCUCUGCAGCAGCAGAGGAUGCGGCAAAUCUAGACACUAGACUAUUCUCAAGAAGCCUUCUGAUGACUGUUCUAAAGCUCACCCGUUCAUUAAGAGCCAUUUGAGUUUGACUAGCUAUCGAGAAGAGAAUGACGGUUCCGUAGAGAGCAGCCUUAUACGAGGGGACCACACCAAGCCAGCAUACUCCAGAACACUCCUAACCAAAGACAGUGCUAGGGGGUCACCUAAGGACACGUUUAGGUGGGACAAAUGCCCCCUUCCAUCACAGAAGGUAGGUGAAUUAAAUUUCGGGCUAAUAAAGAGAUGGCUCCUGAUCUCUGCAGCGGACUGAUCCUAGCUUCUCUAACUGGUUAAACCGUAAGUCCUUUUUGUCUUCACCGAUUAAGCUCCUCCGUUCGCUCAAUUAUCAAUUAUUAAUUAUUAA